GAGAAGCUUGCUUCUCUUGAGAGCGGCGGACGGGUGAGUAAUGCCUAGGAAUCUGCCUGGUAGUGGGGGAUAACGUUCGGAAACGGACGCUAAUACCGCAUACGUCCUACGGGAGAAAGCAGGGGACCUUCGGGCCUUGCGCUAUCAGAUGAGCCUAGGUCGGAUUAGCUAGUUGGUGAGGUAAUGGCUCACCAAGGCGACGAUCCGUAACUGGUCUGAGAGGAUGAUCAGUCACACUGGAACUGAGACACGGUCCAGACUCCUACGGGAGGCAGCAGUGGGGAAUAUUGGACAAUGGGCGAAAGCCUGAUCCAGCCAUGCCGCGUGUGUGAAGAAGGUCUUCGGAUUGUAAAGCACUUUAAGUUGGGAGGAAGGGCAGUUACCUAAUACGUGAUUGUUUUGACGUUACCGACAGAAUAAGCACCGGCUAACUCUGUGCCAGCAGCCGCGGUAAUACAGAGGGUGCAAGCGUUAAUCGGAAUUACUGGGCGUAAAGCGCGCGUAGGUGGUUAGUUAAGUUGGAUGUGAAAUCCCCGGGCUCAACCUGGGAACUGCAUUCAAAACUGACUGACUAGAGUAUGGUAGAGGGUGGGUGGAAUUUUCCUGUGUAGCGGUGAAAUGCGUAGAUAUAGGAAGGAACACCAGUGGCGAAGGCGACCACCUGGACUGAUACUGACACUGAGGUGCGAAAGCGUGGGGGAGCAAACAGGAUUAGAUACCCUGGUAGUCCACGCCCGUAAACCAAGGUCACUUACCCUUUGGAACCCUUGACUUCUUAUGGCCGCACCUAACGCAUUAAGUUGACCGCCGGGGGAGUACGGCCGCAAGGUUAAAACUCAAAUGAAUUGACGGGGGCCCGCACAAGCGGUGGAAGCAUGUGGUUUAAUUCGAAGCAACGCGAAGAACCUUACCAGGCCUUGACAUCCAAUGAACUUUCUAAAAAUAGAUUGGUGCCUUCG
RNAcentral lists this ribosomal RNA (959 nucleotides) under Pseudomonadaceae bacterium. Its description in RNAcentral is "bacterial SSU rRNA". It matches the Rfam family "Bacterial small subunit ribosomal RNA", at positions 73 to 1022 of the family's 1533-position model. The record is from RNAcentral. Lineage: Bacteria; Pseudomonadati; Pseudomonadota; Gammaproteobacteria; Pseudomonadales; Pseudomonadaceae.